CUCUACGGCCAUACCACCCUGAACGCGCCCAAUCUCAUCUGAUCUCGGAAGCUAAGCAGGGUAGGGCCUGGUUAGGACUUGAAUUUAUCUGAUAUUUUCUUAUUGUUGGGU
This 111-nucleotide ribosomal RNA is filed under the name Propithecus coquereli (Coquerel's sifaka). The record is from RNAcentral. Lineage: Eukaryota; Metazoa; Chordata; Mammalia; Primates; Indriidae.